AUAUAACAAUUCGCGUUAUUAAUCGCCCAGCUAACCUGUACAGCAAACCUGCAUAUUCACUUAAGCCACCCUUUUGUGAAUAAAAUAUUCCGACCAUGUCGCUAAUCACAACAUGUACAAUGAUGACCACGUAUUGAAUUAUACUUUCUAUCUAAAUAUUUAUUGUUGGAAAAUACUAGUAUAAAUUUCUCAGUUACAAGUAUCUUCUCUACUUAUUAUUAAAGGAGAAUCGAACGUCGUGAUGGUUCGAUCUCCUCCCCUCUUUUCCUCAAGAGAUCCUGUACCGCGAAAAUCGCUAGGAAAAAAUCCACAUUCCGAGCCCUCGUAAAGACCCAAAAAAUCACAAUGUCUUCCUCUCUACU
This 362-nucleotide long non-coding RNA is filed under the name Hordeum vulgare. Its description in RNAcentral is "long non-coding RNA (HVUL_LNC008365)". Lineage: Eukaryota; Viridiplantae; Streptophyta; Magnoliopsida; Poales; Poaceae. The record is from RNAcentral.